UAAUCAACGUUAAUAAGUCGUCACUUUAAAUUGACUGGUUAGCUGUAGGUUUCGAUAACGUUAGCUAACGACAUUCAAACCUAACGUCGCUCCCAGCUAAGCACUGACGUUAACGUUACAUUUGCUCACUAACCAGUAGCAGCUAGCGUUUUAACUAAUGUUAUACUAUCUGGCUCUUGAUAACCUGUGGAAAGGGACCUGAUGAAAACCUUACUGUUUGGAAACGGACCAUAUGACCAAAGUAUUGUUAAAACACACUACAGAAGUUGAGGAACCAGACCAGACCAGUGUGGUGAUGACCGUGUAUUACAUUAUGUGUGUGCCUGUCUGUGUGCACAUCCUGCCAACCAUACAUCGCUGACAUUAACACUAACAUUAAUUCC
Molecule: long non-coding RNA, 383 nt
Organism: Alosa sapidissima (American shad)
Lineage: Eukaryota; Metazoa; Chordata; Actinopteri; Clupeiformes; Clupeidae
Exons: 2
Source: RefSeq, a predicted model, not a curated record